This is an RNA transcript of Ipomoea triloba (trilobed morning glory), 1952 nucleotides long. It is a transcript of the gene named UBP1-associated protein 2B-like, with no coding region annotated. Lineage: Eukaryota; Viridiplantae; Streptophyta; Magnoliopsida; Solanales; Convolvulaceae. The transcript is spliced from 3 exons. The record is from RefSeq and is a predicted model, not a curated record.
UAGGCUGCUGAUUCGUCAUAUCUAUCGCUUUCCUCUUUCUUGAUUUUAUUUCUCUGAAACCCUUGCCAGCUUCCCCAUCUGAGAACUUUACUAUUCAGCCUAGCAAUGGCCAAGAAGCGAAAGUCUCGGGCUUCACACCAGCCCGAACCUCAACCCCAACCGGAACCGGAACCGGAACAAGUCAAAGUUGAAGAGCAAGAGCAGUCGCAACCAGAAGUUGAUCCCGAACCGGAAGCAACCAAUCAAGUGGCCGAAGAAGAGAAGGAGCAAGAGAAAGAAGUUGGAGAGCAGAUGGAAGUUGAGGACUUGAAUGGUAAUUCUAAUGGUGCUGAAAAGGGGAAAGGAAAUUGCUCUGACGACGCUGGAACAGCUAACGGAGGGGAGGAGGAGGAGGAGGAGGAGGAGGAUUUAGAGGAAGAACCUCUCGAGAAGGUUCUGGAACCCUUCUCCAAGGAGCAGCUGAAGGUGAUUGUGCAAGAGGCUGUAAACAAACAUCCAGAUUUCAUUAAAAAUGUUACGGCAUGGGCCGAUAAAGACCCCUCGCAUCGGAAAAUUUUUGUGCACGGUCUGGGAUGGGACGCCACGGCCGAAACCCUAACCAAUGUGUUCGCCAACUAUGGGGAGAUCGAGGACUGCAAGGCCGUUACUGAUAAAGUCUCCGGGAAAUCCAAAGGAUAUGCAUUUAUACUCUUCAAGCACCGGAGUGGAGCUAAGAAAGCUUUGAAACAGCCUCAGAAGAAGAUUGGGAAUCGGAUGGCCUCGUGUCAACUGGCUUCUUCUGGGCCUGGUCCUGGACCUGCUCCACCUCCUAAUACACCUCCAGUCUCUGACUAUACUCAGAGGAAGAUUUUCGUUAGCAAUGUUUCUGCAGAUUUUGAUCCCCAGAAAUUAUUGGCAUUCUUUUCUAAGUAUGGGGAGAUUGAGGAGGGACCAUUGGGGUUGGAUAAGAUAUCAGGGAAACCAAAAGGUUUCUGCUUGUUUGUGUACAAGACAGUUGAGAGUGCAAAGAAGGCAUUGGAGGAGCCCAAUAAGAUUUUUGAGGGGCAAGAAUUGAAUUGCUCCAAGGCAAUUGAUGGUCCAAAGCAAAAUAAGAAUUUCCAUCAACAUCAACAUCAUCAUAAGCAGCAACAAUACUAUCAGCAUACAGCAAAGAAGGGAAAAUAUUCAGCUGGUGGAGUUGGAAGUGCAGCUACUUCAACCGGGCAUUUAAUUCGCCCACAACCUGGUCCUGCACCUGUGGGAUUCAAUCCUGCAGUUGCCCCGGUUCUUGGGCAGGCACUGACAGCAUUGUUGGCAACCCAAGGAGGUGGAUUAGGGAUAGGCAACUUUCUUGGAGGGCUUGGGCCUGUGAAUCCUCAGGGAGUGCCACCUGGGAUGAACAACUCGACAGGAUAUGGGGUCCAGGGUGCUGCAGCUGGCUAUGGAGUUCAGCCAGGAAUGCAGGGAGGAUAUCAAUACCCGCAGAUGGGACAUGGAGGUGUGAGGCCACACGGAGGUGCUCCCUAUAUGGGGCGUGGUCGUUAGGACUGCAGAAGUAUGGAGGAGCCUUUUAUGAGUUCUGUUUCAUGGAUCUAAUGACUUCAGUCAUGUCCAACUGACCAUCAUGUUCCCUGCUCUGCUAAGAUUCCUUCAUAAAUCCAUCACUCUUUUUGUUUUGGACUGGUGAUUCUUCCCAAGUUCCAGGAACAAAUGCAAAUGACGUCUUUAUUGUAACCCUCCCCCCCCCAAAAAAAAAAAAACAUCUCUUUGCUUAAAGACCAGAAUCUUCAAUUUGCAUCUUUUAUAUUGAGAAUGUUUCUAAAACUAUGUAAAAUUUUCACCGUAUUUCUUUCUAUAUUGGAUUGAGAAGCAGGUAGGACAUCCACUACAAUCCCUCCAGAAUUUAAGUUUAUGUACCUUUUCCAAAAAUUAGUUACUGCUCUAUCUUUUGAAUAAGGCUAAGUUUUAUUCCA